This 72-nucleotide transfer RNA is filed under the name Rhipicephalus sanguineus (brown dog tick). RNAcentral's name for it is "transfer RNA glutamine (anticodon UUG)". It matches the Rfam family "tRNA". Rfam says of the family: Transfer RNA (tRNA) molecules are approximately 80 nucleotides in length. Their secondary structure includes four short double-helical elements and three loops (D, anti-codon, and T loops). Further hydrogen bonds mediate the characteristic L-shaped molecular structure. tRNAs have two regions of fundamental functional importance: the anti-codon, which is responsible for specific mRNA codon recognition, and the 3' end, to which the tRNAs corresponding amino acid is attached (by aminoacyl-tRNA synthetases). tRNAs cope with the degeneracy of the genetic code in two manners: having more than one tRNA (with a specific anti-codon) for a particular amino acid; and 'wobble' base-pairing, i.e. permitting non-standard base-pairing at the 3rd anti-codon position. Lineage: Eukaryota; Metazoa; Arthropoda; Arachnida; Ixodida; Ixodidae. The record is from Rfam by way of RNAcentral.
GGUCUCAUGGUGUAAUGGUAAGCACUCUGGACUUUGAAUCCAGCGAUCCGAGUUCGAAUCUCGGUGAGACCU